CGUCACCGAGGACUGGUCGUGAUUCCGUCUCCCGGGGCAACUCGGAGAUCCUACACAUGUGGAUCAUCUUCUGCAGUGAGCCCCUGCCCACUGUCCAGUGUAGAUAGUCUGAGAGUAGAAAAGGGCAGAAGGCCAUUACAGGGCUGAAGGAGGAGGGAGUCGGGACAAAGCCCACGGCUGCCGACACAGGGAGAGCGAAGGCUGACCUCACACGUGAACUGGCCCAGCACAGCUGGAGAUGUGGAGGCUUUGAAAGCAAGCCAAGAUCAGCAGAUUCUCGGAGACCGCUCAGCGAUGAAGAACGAGAGCUGCUGUGCUACUCUACACAUUUUGUAGCUGCGCCAUGGAGGAAGUAGCUGAAACCAACGGGUCGGACCACUUUCCCAGCGGCCUGCAGAGAGCUGAGCCAGAGCAAGGAAGGAAGUCAGAGACCACCUCGCUGCCUAGCAAUGACCAACACGCCACCAGCUCCAGUCCAGAAACCAACGCACCCCCGUCCUCUUCGCUCCGUGGCUCUGCCCAACCACAGCAGACCACA
Molecule: long non-coding RNA, 538 nt
Organism: Scleropages formosus (Asian bonytongue)
Lineage: Eukaryota; Metazoa; Chordata; Actinopteri; Osteoglossiformes; Osteoglossidae
Exons: 3
Source: RefSeq, a predicted model, not a curated record